This is a long non-coding RNA of Populus euphratica (Euphrates poplar), 1214 nucleotides long. RefSeq lists it as uncharacterized. The transcript has 3 exons. The record is from RefSeq and is a predicted model, not a curated record. NCBI's taxonomy places the organism in Eukaryota, Viridiplantae, Streptophyta, Magnoliopsida, Malpighiales, Salicaceae.
GCAACAGGUCUUUCGGCAUUUCUGUUUCGGCUUUCCUCCUGAUUGGGAAGAAUGUGGAACCAAGUUUCUGAAUAGUAACUGUGAAAGCGCGGCAGAGCCUCCGGUGUCUCAAAAUGAAUGCCGGCCUAUUUUCUUAUCAUUGCCAGUAGAUGAUGGCAUUAAUAAUUUGAAGAAUGAUGACUCAAAGAAUCUUUCACCACUAUCGAGAUGUCGUGUAAAUGAUGUAAGUUGGGUGAAAGAUAGUGUGGUGGUACCAGCAAAACCUUCUGGUCACCAUGUGGAUGUGGCACUAUCUUCUGAAAAGAUAGGCAGCAAGAAAAGCAAAACCAUAUCUUUUGGAAAGUUGAUGGCUAAAAGGUCAAGUAGUUUAGAAAGAAUCAGCUUCAAGAAUGAUGCAUCGGGGGAAUGCUCAGCACUCACGGAUUAUAAUGUGGGCAAUAUCACUAAAUCAAACUUUGACCAGACACUGUCUGUUAGAACUUCAGGUGUGGUACUGGCUGUAUCCUUAGAAGUGAUCUCGAGUUCAAAGUAAAAGAAAAGGGAAAAUGAGGGAAACCAGGAUGGACUGAAGAGAAGUGAUUUCUCAAUGCCAUCUUUGCCUCAAGGCCCUCAGGUUAUGCUAAGAUGCAUUGAAAAUAAUACUACACCAGGGCCGUCUCUUUCUAGAUCUCCGACUCGGGGAGAUUCUGAUAUUUUAAAUCAAUCUGAUAAAUGUCUCGUGGAAAACUCUGUGUUUUCCAGCAUGCGGUCAGGUGCGGAAGCAAAUAUCAUUAGUCCAUCCAUGGAAGAAACAGAGGCAUUGGAUGCUAAUCUCAUUGAUUCUGGACAUAGGAAAGGCACUGCCUCUGUGACAAAUCUGAUAAAUAUACCGAUACAGAAAUCUGUCUCUGGACAUUCAGUGAGGUACAAAGCCAAAAGGUUGAAAUCAGUUGAAGGUAAACCGAAGAGAAAUUCAGGCACAACUCUUGAUAUAGCAGAGGCAAUGUUGAGAGCUUCAACAAAGAUGAAUACACUGUCAGGAAAUUCAAAAAGUAAAGAGUAGAAAGAAACAAUAGCUGUUGAGAAAGGAGGUUUGUCCAUGAAGCAAGCUAGAAGGAAAGUUAUUUUUGAUGCCGAUGGAGACUACUUUUACCUACCCUAGAUUUCUGGCGCAACCAAAUUGCAGUUUAUGAUGAGGUUAUAUCUCUGGGGUUGAAUCUAAGACUCAGAAGAGC